RNAcentral lists this long non-coding RNA (916 nucleotides) under Durio zibethinus. RNAcentral describes it as "long non-coding RNA (DZIB_LNC001480)". The record is from RNAcentral. Lineage: Eukaryota; Viridiplantae; Streptophyta; Magnoliopsida; Malvales; Malvaceae.
AAGAAAAUAAAUAAAAUAGUUUCAUUAAUAAUCUAAUUACCAGGUGAUUAGUAAUUAAGAAAGAAACCAAAGCUCCUCAAUACAUACAUUACACUGCUACUAAGUCUAAAAGUACCAACAUCCAUUAGCCCUACUGCCCCUACACUCACUACAUCCUCUUGGAUCAACCUGCACUUCUCACCAACAACCAACAUGUUUAUAUAACGCAUACAGUGCAUUAAUCAUGGAACCACCUUGCAGAAAAUGGUUCAUCAUCAGUAGCUGUUCAGUUCCGUGGUUUCUUAUCUCUUCUUCUUCUUCUCCUUCUUCUCACAAUUAGCUAUGCCUCUGGCCUUGGCUUGAGGAGCGUCCCUCACUUCCCUUAGGUACAGCCUUACGGCACCCACACCAAACGUGUUCCAGUCAUGUCGCUUCAGAGAUUCAUAACUGCUUAAAGCUGGGAGCGAUUGUUGUGGCGAAUAUGGUAUUGUUCGACGGUUCUCAUCUCUUUGAUGAGAAGUAGUGCUAUUGGCGGCGGCGGCCGCAGCGGCAGCAGCGGCUGACAUAGUAAUCACUUUGCGUUAGGUGGGCUCAAAGUCAAAACCCUAUGGCGUUGUCUAUAUAUUGGAUAAUUUAUGCAAAGAGAGAAGGGAGAAUAGGUGGAGGAAUGAAGUGAGAAUGAGAACAAUACUACAUACAAGGAAAGAAGGUUUGGGUUAGUACGAAGAAUAAUGGAGGAAGCAAGUGAGAGAGACAAGAGGGGGCCCUUGCAAAACAAAACCACUCACACUUUGAAUAUCUAUCUCAAAUCUCAAUCAUCGCUUUCUUUUUCUGCUAUUUACUACUACUAGUAGAGUAGUGGGAGUAAUAUUCUUCUUUUUCCAACCUUAAUAUUCGAUACCACUCAACACACGUAUCUAAAUUUAUCAUAAUAAAA